Long non-coding RNA from Olea europaea var. sylvestris, 633 nucleotides. RefSeq lists it as uncharacterized. The transcript is spliced from 3 exons. The record is from RefSeq and is a predicted model, not a curated record. Lineage: Eukaryota; Viridiplantae; Streptophyta; Magnoliopsida; Lamiales; Oleaceae.
ACUUUUAUUCGCAUUACCAUGGCUUCUUUGAAUCACACCUGAAGGCGAAUGGGCAAGCAAUCCGCUUUGUGAUAGACUCUUUGGAUCGUGUUAAUGCGAAUUGGUGAUAAAUCGACUUGACGAUUUGAUGAUGAUAAUGAAUCAAAGCUAGGAAGGGAGUCAUCUUUAAUUUAGGGGCAGGAAUGAAAUGCCACAGCUUUUUUGAAAAAAGAAUAGUAAUCUUCAUGUGGGUUGUUAUGGUUUGAGCUGUCUCCAGCUUGCUGCUUUUAAGAGUUUUGAUCACAAAGUCAGUCAGAUGGCACAUGUGGACUGGACUUGUCAUUCACACCACAUGCAUAUGUCCACAAUUUCACUCUAUCUAUCAACUCGUCUUUCUUUGAGUACAAUCAAACAUCCUGAUUUGACUAGUUCCUUAAAAAGUGUUGUCUCGCGCUCAUAGGGUUAUGAUCCAUCUGGCUGCUACCAACCGUACGAUGUCAAUAUGGGGCAUAUGUCGGGCUAGUAACAUUGGAAACUGCUUCUGGACUGAGAGCAACCAACAAUAGAGAGGGAGAGAGGACAAACCAUGGAAUAUAUUUGAUAGAAAACCCAUCAGGUUCAUUGCGAGCUCUGAUUAGAGAAUCAGGAACCUUC